RNAcentral lists this ribosomal RNA (168 nucleotides) under Machilus breviflora. RNAcentral's name for it is "5.8S ribosomal RNA". It matches the Rfam family "5.8S ribosomal RNA". From Rfam's summary of the family: 5.8S ribosomal RNA (5.8S rRNA) is a component of the large subunit of the eukaryotic ribosome. Lineage: Eukaryota; Viridiplantae; Streptophyta; Magnoliopsida; Laurales; Lauraceae. The record is from RNAcentral.
ACGACUCUCGGCAACGGAUAUCUCGGCUCUCGCAUCGAUGAAGAACGUAGCGAAAUGCGAUACUUGGUGUGAAUUGCAGAAUCCCGUGAACCAUCGAGUCUUUGAACGCAAGUUGCGCCCGAGGCCACUCGGCCGAGGGCACGCCUGCCUGGGCGUCACGCCACCCAU